RNAcentral lists this ribosomal RNA (301 nucleotides) under uncultured bacterium. Its description in RNAcentral is "partial 16S ribosomal RNA". It matches the Rfam family "Bacterial small subunit ribosomal RNA", at positions 509 to 809 of the family's 1533-position model. The record is from RNAcentral.
CAGCAGCCGCGGUAAUACGUAGGGUGCGAGCGUUAAUCGGAAUUACUGGGCGUAAAGCGUGCGCAGGCGGUUCGUUAAGACAGAUGUGAAAUCCCCGGGCUUAACCUGGGAACUGCAUUUGUGACUGGCGAGCUAGAGUAUGGCAGAGGGGGGUAGAAUUCCACGUGUAGCAGUGAAAUGCGUAGAGAUGUGGAGGAAUACCGAUGGCGAAGGCAGCCCCCUGGGCCAAUACUGACGCUCAUGCACGAAAGCGUGGGGAGCAAACAGGAUUAGAUACCCGGGUAGUCCCUGUCUCUUAUAA